GGAGGUAGUGACAAUAAAUCACAAUGCGGAACAUUUGUUUUGCAAUUGGAUUGAGAACAACGCACAACACUUAUCGAUAAACAAUUGGAGGGCAAGUCUGGUGCCAGCAGCCGCGGUAAUUCCAGCUCCAAUAGCGUAUAUUAACGUUGUUGCAGUUAAAAAGCUCGUAGUUGAAGUGAAGUAAUGAAGUUGUGACUUGAUUUAUCAUUUCGCUCCUUAAUUACUCUUUCCAAACUGUUUGCACGGGUAUUCAUUUACUUGUGUAUUGCAUUUGGUCGUUUACUGUGAGAAAAUUAGAGUGUUCAAAGCAUACGUUUGUUUGAAUACAUUAGCAUGGAAUAAUUCGAAAAGGCUUUCAUGUUCGAUUUGAUUGGUUUGUUCGUGAGAGCAAGAUUAAAAGGGACAGUUGGGGGUAUUCAUAUUCAAUAGUCAGAGGUGAAAUUCUCGGAUUUAUGGAAGAUGAACAAGUGCGAAAGCA
This 478-nucleotide ribosomal RNA is filed under the name Blastocystis sp. RNAcentral describes it as "SSU rRNA". It matches the Rfam family "Eukaryotic small subunit ribosomal RNA", at positions 460 to 953 of the family's 1831-position model. The record is from RNAcentral. Lineage: Eukaryota; Bigyra; Opalinata; Blastocystidae.